RNAcentral lists this ribosomal RNA (634 nucleotides) under Salmonella enterica subsp. enterica serovar Typhimurium. RNAcentral's name for it is "partial 23S ribosomal RNA". It matches the Rfam family "Bacterial large subunit ribosomal RNA", at positions 2169 to 2802 of the family's 2925-position model. Lineage: Bacteria; Pseudomonadati; Pseudomonadota; Gammaproteobacteria; Enterobacterales; Enterobacteriaceae. The record is from RNAcentral.
CGCCAGUCUGCGUGGAGCCGACCUUGAAAUACCACCCUUUAAUGUUUGAUGUUCUAACGUGGACCCGUGAUCCGGGUUGCGGACAGUGUCUGGUGGGUAGUUUGACUGGGGCGGUCUCCUCCUAAAGAGUAACGGAGGAGCACGAAGGUUGGCUAAUCCUGGUCGGACAUCAGGAGGUUAGUGCAAUGGCAUAAGCCAGCUUGACUGCGAGCGUGACGGCGCGAGCAGGUGCGAAAGCAGGUCAUAGUGAUCCGGUGGUUCUGAAUGGAAGGGCCAUCGCUCAACGGAUAAAAGGUACUCCGGGGAUAACAGGCUGAUACCGCCCAAGAGUUCAUAUCGACGGCGGUGUUUGGCACCUCGAUGUCGGCUCAUCACAUCCUGGGGCUGAAGUAGGUCCCAAGGGUAUGGCUGUUCGCCAUUUAAAGUGGUACGCGAGCUGGGUUUAGAACGUCGUGAGACAGUUCGGUCCCUAUCUGCCGUGGGCGCUGGAGAACUGAGGGGGGCUGCUCCUAGUACGAGAGGACCGGAGUGGACGCAUCACUGGUGUUCGGGUUGUCAUGCCAAUGGCACUGCCCGGUAGCUAAAUGCGGAAGAGAUAAGUGCUGAAAGCAUCUAAGCACGAAACUUGCCCCGA